ACUGAGACACGGCCCAGACUCCUACGGGAGGCAGCAGUGGGGAAUAUUGCACAAUGGGCGGAAGCCUGAUGCAGCGACGCCGCGUGAGGGAUGACGGCUUUCGGGUUGUAAACCUCUUUCAGCAGGGACGAAGCGUGAGUGACGGUACCUGCAGAAGAAGCGCCGGCCAACUACGUGCCAGCAGCCGCGGUAAGACGUAGGGCGCGAGCGUUGUCCGGAUUUAUUGGGCGUAAAGAGCUCGUAGGCGGCUUGUCACGUCGACUGUGAAAUCCCGCGGCUCAACUGCGGGCUUGCAGCCGAUACGGGCAGGCUAGAGUUCGGUAGGGGAGACUGGAAUUCCUGGUGUAGCGGUGAAAUGCGCAGAUAUCAGGAGGAACACCGGUGGCGAAGGCGGGUCUCUGGGCCGGAACUGACGCUGAGGAGCGAAAGCGUGGGGAGCGAACAGGAUUAGAUACCCUGGUAGUCCACGCCGUAAACGUUGGGCGCUAGGUGUGGGGAACCUUCCACGUUCUCCGUGCCGCAACUAACGCAUUAAGCGCCCCGCCUGGGGAGUACGGCCGCAAGGCUAAAACUCAAAGGAAUGA
RNAcentral lists this ribosomal RNA (584 nucleotides) under uncultured bacterium. Its description in RNAcentral is "bacterial SSU rRNA". It matches the Rfam family "Bacterial small subunit ribosomal RNA", at positions 318 to 912 of the family's 1533-position model. The record is from RNAcentral.